GCUCAGAUUGAACGCUGGCGGCAGGCCUAACACAUGCAAGUCGAACGGUAACAGGAAGAAGCUUGCUUCUUUGCUGACGAGUGGCGGACGGGUGAGUAAUGUCUGGGAAACUGCCUGAUGGAGGGGGAUAACUACUGGAAACGGUAGCUAAUACCGCAUAACGUCGCAAGACCAAAGAGGGGGACCUUCGGGCCUCUUGCCAUCGGAUGUGCCCAGAUGGGAUUAGCUUGUUGGUGGGGUAACGGCUCACCAAGGCGACGAUCCCUAGCUGGUCUGAGAGGAUGACCAGCCACACUGGAACUGAGACACGGUCCAGACUCCUACGGGAGGCAGCAGUGGGGAAUAUUGCACAAUGGGCGCAAGCCUGAUGCAGCCAUGCCGCGUGUAUGAAGAAGCCUUCGGGUUGUAAAGUACUUUCAGCGGGGAGGAAGGGAGUAAAGUUAAUACCUUUGCUCAUUGACGUUACCCGCAGAAGAAGCACCGGCUAACUCCGUGCCAGCAGCCGCGGUAAUACGGAGGGUGCAAGCGUUAAUCGGAAUUACUGGGCGUAAAGCGCACCAGGCGGUUUGUUAAGUCAGAUGUGAAAUCCCCGGGCUCAACCUGGGAACUGCAUCUGAUACUGCAAGCUUGAGUCUCGUAGAGGGGGGUAGAAUUCCAGGUGUAGCGGUGAAA
Molecule: ribosomal RNA, 672 nt
Filed under: Escherichia sp.
Lineage: Bacteria; Pseudomonadati; Pseudomonadota; Gammaproteobacteria; Enterobacterales; Enterobacteriaceae
Description: bacterial SSU rRNA
Rfam family: Bacterial small subunit ribosomal RNA
Source: RNAcentral